GGUCAUAGCUCAGUAGUUGAGCAUCUGCCUUGCAUGCAGAAGAUCCCAUGUUCAGUCCCCAGCAUCUCCA
This is a non-coding RNA of Podarcis lilfordi (Lilford's wall lizard), 70 nucleotides long. The record is from the annotation of a GenBank genome assembly. NCBI's taxonomy places the organism in Eukaryota, Metazoa, Chordata, Lepidosauria, Squamata, Lacertidae.